GCUGGCGGCAUGCUUAACACAUGCAAGUCGAACGGCAGCAGCAUCUAGCUUGCUAGGUGGCUGGCGAGUGGCGGACGGGUGAGUAACGCGUAGGAAUCUGCCCUGCAGUGGGGGACAACCCGGGGAAACUCGGGCUAAUACCGCAUACGAUUUGAGGAUGAAAGCGGGUCUUUCGAGGCACGCGCUGUGGGAUGAGCCUGCGUCCGAUUAGCUUGUUGGUGGGGUAAAGGCCUACCAAGGCGACGAUCGGUAGCUGUUCUGAGAGGAUGAUCAGCCACACUGGGACUGAGACACGGCCCAGACUCCUACGGGAGGCAGCAGUGGGGAAUAUUGGACAAUGGGGGCAACCCUGAUCCAGCAAUGCCGCGUGUGUGAAGAAGGCCUGCGGGUUGUAAAGCACUUUCAGUAGGGAAGA
This 415-nucleotide ribosomal RNA is filed under the name uncultured Gammaproteobacteria bacterium. RNAcentral's name for it is "bacterial SSU rRNA". It matches the Rfam family "Bacterial small subunit ribosomal RNA", at positions 35 to 448 of the family's 1533-position model. Lineage: Bacteria; Pseudomonadati; Pseudomonadota; Gammaproteobacteria. The record is from RNAcentral.